RNAcentral lists this ribosomal RNA (460 nucleotides) under uncultured bacterium. RNAcentral's name for it is "partial 16S ribosomal RNA". It matches the Rfam family "Bacterial small subunit ribosomal RNA", at positions 338 to 795 of the family's 1533-position model. The record is from RNAcentral.
CCUACGGGCGGCAGCAGUGAGGAAUAUUGGUCAAUGGGUGCUAGCCUGAACCAGCCAAGUAGCGUGAAGGAUGACUGCCCUAUGGGUUGUAAACUUCUUUUACAUGGGAAUAAAGUGCAGUAUGUAUACUGCUUUGCAUGUACCUUAUGAAUAAGGAACGGCUAAAUACGUGCCAGCAGCCGCGGUAAUACGGAGGAUCCGAGCGUUAUCCGGAUUUAUUGGGUUUAAAGGGAGCGUAGGCGGGUUGUUAAGUCAGUUGUGAAAGUUGGGGGCUCAACCGUGAAAUGGCAGUUGAUACUGGCAUCCUUGAGUGCAGUAGAGGUAGGCGGAAUUCGUGGUGUAGCGGUGAAAUGCGUAGAUAUCACGAGGAACUCCGAUUGCGAAGGCAGCCUGCUGGACUGUAACUGACGCUGAUGCUCGAAAGUGUGGGUAUCAAACAGGAUUAGAUACCCCUGUAGUC